Molecule: long non-coding RNA, 666 nt
Organism: Oncorhynchus keta (chum salmon)
Lineage: Eukaryota; Metazoa; Chordata; Actinopteri; Salmoniformes; Salmonidae
Exons: 4
Source: RefSeq, a predicted model, not a curated record
GUGGAGGUGGUGACACCACGCUGCUGUCCUCAGGGUGGAGGUGGUGACACCACGCUGCUGUCCUCAGGGUGGAGGUGGUGACACCACGCUGCUGUCCUCAGGGUGGAGGUGGUGACACCACGCUGCUGUCCUCAGGGUGGAGGUGGUGACACCACGCUGCUGUCCUCAGGGUGGAGGUGGUGACACCACGCUGCUGUCCUCAGGGUGGAGGUGGUGACACCACGCUGCUGUCCUCAGGGUGGAGGUGGUGACACCACGCUGCUGUCCUCAGGGUGGAGGUGGUGACACCACGCUGCUGUCCUCAGGGUGGAGGUGGUGACACCACGCUGCUGUCCUCAGGGUGGAGGUGGUGACACCACGCUGCUGUCCUCAGGGUGGAGGUGGUCACACCACGCUGCUGUCCUCAGGGUGGAGGUGGUGACACCAUGCUGCUGUCCCCAGGGUGUGAGGGUCAGGGUGGAGGUGGUGACACCAUGCUGCUGUCCCCAGGGUGUGAGGGUCAGGGUGGAGGUGGUGACACCACACUGCUAACCCCAGGGUGUGAGGGUGGAGGUGGUGACACCAUGCUGCUGUCCCCAGGGUGUGAGGGUCAGGGUGGAGGUGGUGACACCACGCUGUUGACCCCAGGGUGUGAGGGUCAGGGUCAGGGUGGAGGGAGAGCCCUGC